GCAAGUUAUGUGAUACUCAUUGUGAUUGAUUUUGUUUGGUUGAAUGCUCAUUUUUUUUUUCUUCAUAUUUUAGUUCAUUAAUACAUGUCUAAAUAAUGAGAUUCAUAUUCACCGUGCAACGCACGGGGUAAAAACGCUAAUACAUGACAGAAGAGAAGGAGCAAAUAAAGGAGAAAAAAUAGAAAAGAAAUAGGAGGCAAGAGACUCGACAGAAACACAAAAACAGAACCCAUCAGAACACAACAACAUGCAGUGUUUAGGAAAUCUCUGCCACCAGAGUGCUUAGCGUCAACCAGUCCCAGGCUAGACGAAUUGCGAAGCCAAAAACACCCAAGGCUACAGCAUACAAGGCCAAACCCAUCAUCGUUUCAAAUGUUUCCAAACAAGCACAAGAUGCAUAUAUAGAAAACCAGCCUCGCAGCCACUGAUCUUCAUCACUACUUUCACCAGGAAUUUUCCAUCCCCAAACAGAGCUUUGGAUUCCAUAACCAUUUAUAGGAAGAACAAUUGAAAUCAUUUUUCUUGCAUUUGAGCCACUUCCAAGACCUGAAAAUUAUAACCUCCACCAUUUUAUCUACACAGAUUGAACCAGAGCUAAACAACACCUUGUUUCAGUGAAGUCAAAUGGACCACACUACUGCUAUCCAUAUAGACCACCACCCUGAAUUGGAUCCUAGAGGCAGAUUGAGAUCAUGUUGUGCAAAGUGUGCUCUAACUUCAUCAUGGAAGUCCGAACAAAACCCCAGCCAUUUGUAAAUCCUCAUCCACACUUCCCACGCAAAUUUGCAGGAAAAAAGCAAAUGAUUUAGACGUUCCUCUUGUUACUCGCAUAAUACACAGAUACAUUGAGUUCUCGAAUGAAACAUUGCUUCUUGAGAUUUGCUUUCAUUUAAAUUCUGUUUAGAAACACCCUCCAAGUAAAAGCCAUGAGUUUGAUAGGGCUGCAAUAUUCCACAUCAGUUUAAAGACGAACACUCUCCCUACGGUAUAGGUCCAAGCUGAAUUUCAUAUGCAGAUUUGACGGAGAAAACACUAUCCCAAGAGCCCUCCCAUAACCAAGAGUCACGAUCCCCUGUUUUAGUUGCAUGGUUCUUCUUUCAAUUUUUAUGUCCCAGCAUUUGAUUCUCCUAGACAAAAAGAUUCCUCCUCCAAAGGAAAGCCCACUUCCACCUCCAAUCCUCCCAAUAACCCUUGUUUUUUUAUAGAACUUAACUGCUGAAUGGAAACAUCGAAGAGUCUUUUGAACCUUACCCUCAGACUCGCCACACCUCUCAGCCACCGGUUUUCCCAAAAUCGGGUUGCGCCUCCAUCUCUGAUUCUCCUAGUCACAUUGUUGUCAAACCAGUUCAGAAAUUUGCAGAGCAAAUAGAAUUGAAGAAGAAUCUUAUUGAACAAGUAGAAUUUUUGUU
RNAcentral lists this long non-coding RNA (1409 nucleotides) under Lotus japonicus. RNAcentral's name for it is "long non-coding RNA (LJAP_LNC001780)". Lineage: Eukaryota; Viridiplantae; Streptophyta; Magnoliopsida; Fabales; Fabaceae. The record is from RNAcentral.